AGAGUUUGAUCAUGGCUCAGGAUGAACGCUAGCGGCAGGCUUAACACAUGCAAGUCGAGGGGUAACGGGGAAGCUUGCUUCCGCCGACGACCGGCGCACGGGUGCGUAACGCGUAUACAAUCUACCUUAUACUGGGGUAUAGCCUUUAGAAAUGAAGAUUAACCCCCCAUAGUCUCUUAGAGUGGCAUCACUUCUAGAGUAAAGGUUACGGUAUAAGAUGAGUAUGCGUUCUAUUAGUUUGUUGGUGUGGUAACGGCACACCAAGACUACGAUAGAUAGGGGCCCUGAGAGGGGGAUCCCCCACACUGGUACUGAGACACGGACCAGACUCCUACGGGAGGCAGCAGUGAGGAAUAUUGGACAAUGGAGGCAACUCUGAUCCAGCCAUGCCGCGUGCAGGAAGACUGCCCUAUGGGUUGUAAACUGCUUUUAUACAGGAAGAAACACCUCUACGUGUAGAGGCUUGACGGUACUGUAAGAAUAAGGAUCGGCUAACUCCGUGCCAGCAGCCGCGGUAAUAC
RNAcentral lists this ribosomal RNA (521 nucleotides) under uncultured bacterium. RNAcentral describes it as "bacterial SSU rRNA". It matches the Rfam family "Bacterial small subunit ribosomal RNA", at positions 8 to 526 of the family's 1533-position model. The record is from RNAcentral.